UACGAAGGGGGCUAGCGUUGCUCGGAAUCACUGGGCGUAAAGGGUGCGUAGGCGGGUCUUUAAGUCAGGGGUGAAAUCCUGGAGCUCAACUCCAGAACUGCCUUUGAUACUGAAGAUCUUGAGUUCGGGAGAGGUGAGUGGAACUGCGAGUGUAGAGGUGAAAUUCGUAGAUAUUCGCAAGAACACCAGUGGCGAAGGCGGCUCACAGGCCCGAUACUGACGCUGAUGCACGAAGGCGUGGGGAGCAAACAGG
This 253-nucleotide ribosomal RNA is filed under the name uncultured bacterium. Its description in RNAcentral is "partial 16S ribosomal RNA". It matches the Rfam family "Bacterial small subunit ribosomal RNA", at positions 524 to 776 of the family's 1533-position model. The record is from RNAcentral.